UAACAAGGACACCAAGGUACCCAAUGCCUGU
Molecule: non-coding RNA, 31 nt
Filed under: Callithrix jacchus (white-tufted-ear marmoset)
Lineage: Eukaryota; Metazoa; Chordata; Mammalia; Primates; Cebidae
Also listed under: 2 other names
Source: RNAcentral